RNAcentral lists this unclassified non-coding RNA (332 nucleotides) under uncultured fungus. RNAcentral's name for it is "partial contains 5.8S ribosomal RNA and internal transcribed spacer 2". The stretch from base 1 to 133 matches the Rfam family "5.8S ribosomal RNA", at positions 22 to 154 of the family's 154-position model. The record is from RNAcentral. Lineage: Eukaryota; Fungi.
UGGUUCUGGCAUCGAUGAAGAACGCAGCGAAAUGCGAUAAGUAAUGUGAAUUGCAGAAUUCAGUGAAUCAUCGAAUCUUUGAACGCACAUUGCGCCCGGCAGUAUUCUGCCGGGCAUGCCUGUCCGAGCGUCAUUUCAACCCUCAAGCCCCCGGGCUUGGUGUUGGGGAUCGGCCCGCCCCUUGCGGCAGGCCGGCCCCGAAAUCUAGUGGCGGUCCCGCUGUAGCCUCCUCUGCGUAGUAGCAACACCUCGCACCGGAACGCGGCGGCGCCCUGCCGUAAAACCCCCAACUUCUAAUGGUUGACCUCGGAUCAGGUAGGAAUACCCGCUGA